RNAcentral lists this long non-coding RNA (977 nucleotides) under Oreochromis niloticus (Nile tilapia). RNAcentral describes it as "lncRNA (ENSONIG00000031065.1)". The record is from RNAcentral. Lineage: Eukaryota; Metazoa; Chordata; Actinopteri; Cichliformes; Cichlidae.
UUGUUUGUCUCUUUAACAGCACUGCUGGACGGAAACGAUUCUGCUCAGCUGAAACACUUCGAUAAAGAAACUGGAAGCUCUCUCACAGUCGGAUGUUCCUUUAAACAACCUGGAAACAGAGCGUUGUUCUGCAGGGGAGAAUGUGGAGGAAACAAUACUCUUGUUCAAACAGAUGAUGUCAAAGCUCAAAGAGGCAAAUACAACAUUGGAUAUGCUUCACAUACAGAUCCAGGAGUUCUGUAUGUGAGCAUCACACAGCUGACCAAGUCUGACUCAGGACGGUACAGAUGUUUACUGAGUGGAUCUUCCAGCAGCUCAUUCAGAGAGUUUGAGGUCACUGUCACAGAUGUCAUCCCAUCAUUAACUGGACAGAACCAGUAUGGGCUGUAUGUGGGUCUGACUCUGACUGUCACCAUCAUCCUGGUCUCAGUGUCUGUGCUGAUAUUCUACAAGAAAAGAUCCUCUAAACGAAAAGAUGUUCCUGUGGAAACACAGUAUGCUGAUGUCACAGAGGUGAGUUUAAGGAACUUUUAAUCUUUUAAACUGUUCAAGAGUCCAGUGAAGAAAACUCAAAACAAGAAAGGUUUUAACGUUAACAUCACGAAUUUCUUCACAAAUAAAAUUUUAACCAUUAAAGAAAAAAUUACCAAUAAUCAUCCCACAGAUGUAAUAUUAUCUACAGCUACUUUUAGUACCAUCGAUGUUAAGUUAGACUCUUUUUCUCCAAUUGAUCUUUCUGAGUUAACUUCAAUAAUUACUUCCUCCAAACCAUCAACGUGUCUUUUAGACCCCAUUCCUACAAAACUGCUCAAAGAAGUCCUGCCAUUAAUUAAUGCUUCAAUCUUAAAUAUGAUCAACCUCUCUCUAAUAAUCGGCUAUGUACCACAGGCCUUCAAGCUGGCUGUAGUUAAACCUUUACUUAAAAAGCUAUUUCUUGACCCUACUGUCCAAAUUAAUCAUAGGCCAAUCUCCAACCC